Molecule: ribosomal RNA, 404 nt
Filed under: Actinomycetes bacterium
Lineage: Bacteria; Bacillati; Actinomycetota; Actinomycetes
Description: Actinobacteria bacterium partial 16S ribosomal RNA
Rfam family: Bacterial small subunit ribosomal RNA
Source: RNAcentral
UGGGGAAUAUUGGACAAUGGGCGCAAGCCUGAUCCAGCCAUGCCGCGUGAGUGAUGAAGGCCCUAGGGUUGUAAAGCUCUUUCACCGGUGAAGAUAAUGACGGUAACCGGAGAAGAAGCCCCGGCUAACUUCGUGCCAGCAGCCGCGGUAAUACGAAGGGGGCUAGCGUUGUUCGGAUUUACUGGGCGUAAAGCGCACGUAGGCGUACUAUUAAGUCAGGGGUGAAAUCCCGGGGCUCAACCCCGGAACUGCCUUUGAUACUGGUAGUCUUGAGUUCGAGAGAGGUGAGUGGAAUUCCGAGUGUAGAGGUGAAAUUCGUAGAUAUUCGGAGGAACACCAGUGGCGAAGGCGGCUCACUGGCUCGAUACUGACGCUGAGGUGCGAAAGCGUGGGGAGCAAACAGG